GUCAGUGACUUGGGAACCCAGGAAAUGUGAUGCUCGCCCCCCACCCCUACCCUAGGGAGAUAGUCUGGCUGCUAACAAGCUGUAAGGCCUCCGCUUUAUGGACUGUAUUUCUGCCCUGCUGUCUGCUACCCCUCCUGCCAAUUACUGUACAUGAAUGUAUCCAUAUGAUCCUGGUGCGAUGCAAGCAAAUGAGUUUGACUCAUCUGAUGAAGAGCCUAUUCAAGAUGAUCAGAUACCAUUUCAGAUAUCAUGGUUAGCCCUGUCAUCUGUCUAUUGUUCUCAGUUUCUGGGAGUAUGUUCUCUGCCAGGUAUGUAGCACUGGUUUUAGAAAUUUAGUAGAAAGCAUGGUUAAAGCUAGGAGGAAAUUAUGCUGUCUCCAAAGAUCUCUCUAAACCUUACUCGCUUAGUGGAGUGAUACACAUGUCUUCUGAGCACACAAUAUUGGAAAGAGUGGAGGUAUCAGAUCUCUUGGUUUGAUGCCUGAGACUGUUUUGCCUAAUCCAGAAGAAGUGAUGAAAGGUAACUGCUGACAACCUAGUAUGCUUUCCAAAUUGGAGUACAUUUUAUGAUUGUAAAUGGCAAUGCAAGCCCAUGAAAUGGGACAACUCUGACAAAGCUAAAUUUUUCCACUAUAAGGAAUGUCAAACUAAAGAUCGCAUCUGAAAAAUCCUACACUGUUACAUUCUAAAAAUGUAAAAUAUUAGUAAAGUAUUUCAUGUGUUUUAACCACUUGUGUUUUUUAGUGCUUGUAUUUCACCCAGUUUGGAAUCAAUUAUCACUGUCUCAUUCUCAUGCACUAGCAUUCUGUUGUAAUGUUGGGUUGCAAAUGCCAAAAUGGGUAUUUAAUUCCAAACAGAAUUUCAUUGACACUUUAAACACAUGUGUUUAACACUUUUUUUANUAUUUGGUUGAUGCAGACUUGACACGGCAGAAGCACAAGUCAUAAAAACACACUAUUCUGAAU
This 964-nucleotide long non-coding RNA is filed under the name Gopherus agassizii (Agassiz's desert tortoise). RNAcentral's name for it is "lncRNA (ENSGAGG00000025876.1)". Lineage: Eukaryota; Metazoa; Chordata; Testudines; Testudinidae. The record is from RNAcentral.